UGGGGAAUAUUGGACAAUGGGCGAAAGCCUGAUCCAGCCAUGCCGCGUGUGUGAAGAAGGUCUUCGGAUUGUAAAGCACUUUAAGUUGGGAGGAAGGGCAGUAAGCGAAUACCUUGCUGUUUUGACGUUACCGACAGAAUAAGCACCGGCUAACUCUGUGCCAGCAGCCGCGGUAAUACAGAGGGUGCAAGCGUUAAUGGAAUUACUGGGCGUAAAGCGCGCGUAGGUGGUUCGUUAAGUUGAAUGUGAAAGCCCCGGGCUCAACCUGGGAACUGCAUCCAAAACUGGCGAGCUAGAGUAGGGCAGAGGGUGGUGGAAUUUCCUGUGUAGCGGUGAAAUGCGUAGAUAUAGGAAGGAACACCAGUGGCGAAGGCGACCACCUGGGCUCAUACUGACACUGAGGUGCGAAAGCGUGGGGAGCAAACAGG
Molecule: ribosomal RNA, 428 nt
Filed under: Pseudomonadota bacterium
Lineage: Bacteria; Pseudomonadati; Pseudomonadota
Description: Proteobacteria bacterium partial 16S ribosomal RNA
Rfam family: Bacterial small subunit ribosomal RNA
Source: RNAcentral